UACAAAAAAUAAAGCUUAUAGCGUCAGGCAAAUAGUGACGGUUGGUACUGAACCGUCUUCGCCUUUGUGUUACCCGUCGGUUAUUGCGGCAUUCGUUCAACCGCCCGCUCUGUUUGUAAUCCUGCGGCGCUUUUAGGCUAUUUAGCGAUGGUUUGAUCGUCUUAGAUUCCCUCUUUAAACUCUUUAAUUCAAUCGAAAACCUUUUUUCUCCCAUAACCUAAUAUUCUCCCUUUCAACGAUUCAAAUUGAGUGUUGGUUUAUUUUCACUUCAACAAGCAGGUUCAACCUUCGUUCGUUCAGAUUCAGGUUCGUUUUCACCUUCGUUCGUUUCAACUCAUCUUCGUUCUCUGAUUUCACCUUCAAAUUCACUCUCGGAUUUCACCUUCAAGCUUCACCUUCAAGCUUCAGUUCUUUGUAUUGAACCUUCAAGCUUCAGAUUCGUUCUCUGAUUUCACCUUCAUUCAACCUUCUCCUCAGAUUCUUUCAACCUUCAACUUCAAUCUUCAAAAUCCAGUUUUUUUCUCCUAUGUCAUAACUUGAUGUGGAAAAGAAACUGAUAUUGUAGCAGUAGGAGAACAAAUAUACACUAGCUAUUAUUCUCCGAUAGGAGCUAGAGUGAAAUGUCUCUCAUAUGUUGGUUACUUUAUCAACGCAAGGGUGCCUCUGGAACACAAACACAUUGAACUAUUCUUCAGUCAAAUUGUUACAAGACAUGGCUCUGCACGGAAUUUGCCUAGAUCAAGCACUUCAAGACUCAGUCCAAGGCUGGGUUUUGAUAGUUUUGAAGAUGGAAUGUUAAUUUUCCCUUUGGAUUCUGCUUGAAGUUGUUCUGGAGGAGUUAGAAUUAGAAACACAUCGCAAAGAAAAUUCUUGUCUGACUGAUGCUGCAUACACAACAGUUUUUAGAAAAGAACAUCCAGGACGUGUUCGAGGCGUGGGCGUUCUUGUAUCCUUGAAUUCGAUGGAGCAUAUAGUGGAAAUCCUGGAAGGUCUGGAGUAGGAGCUUUUAUGUGUGAUGGCAACCAGGUGUCUACUCUAUGCAUCAAUAUUCAUAUUUGUACUAUAAAGCUAUAUGCUAUAUAUCAAAUGUAGUAACCCUUGGGUGCCUAAGUAUUCUUUAAUUGCUAUAUGGUUCUUAGUAGUUGGAUUUAUUUUCUGUUCAGUUUGGUUUUCUGGUGUUGGUUUGUUCUUGUGAUCGUUUUGUUCUUGAUUUGAUGCUAUUAAUUCCAGGAUUUUGAGGCCUGUUUGUAACUUCUUUAACAAAGUUUGCAAAUCAUUGUUUUAUGUUUUCAUUUCAUUGUAA
Molecule: RNA transcript, 1303 nt
Organism: Trifolium pratense (red clover)
Lineage: Eukaryota; Viridiplantae; Streptophyta; Magnoliopsida; Fabales; Fabaceae
Exons: 7
Source: RefSeq, a predicted model, not a curated record